GGAAAACCAUUCAAGGGCAGCAGAGGCAGCGUAAGUGGGCGGCUCCUGCGCAGGGAGGACGGCACCGGGCAGGACGUCGGGGCCAGGGUCCCCGCAGCACCGCACCUGCUCCUGCGUCUCUUUGCCGGCACUUGCGAGGCCUUCCUGCGGGCUGAGAGCGGCAUGGGUGCCCCGCGUCCCCUCCUGCCCGGGGUCACCUGCCACCCGACCAUCUGCCUCGGCUCCCGGGACGACGGCCCCUGACCCUUAAAGGAAACCGUCCUUUCUGCGCAAUGACGCCAAGCUCCCGCACGUUUCACGGGCAGGUUCUGCUCCCCUCUGGCCCCCACAGGCCCCCUCCCUGGACGGCGGCCAGUGGUGUAAAGGGGCCGGGGUGUGCAGAGGCCCCAGUGCCCUUGCACACGGGCGUCCAGCACGGCGCCUGCAGCAACCCCGGAUGGGCAGGUGCAUCGCUGACCGCUGCGUCUGCAGAAGCCUCUCCUGACCCCAGAGCCCUCCUGGCCCGGGGGCUCCCACCCACCUGCGCCCUGGCUCCACCCAAACUCCCGUGAGCGCAGAGGGUGGGCCGAGCAAAGACCCAGACGGGGCUAGCUGCCCGCAAAGAGACCUCACCGUCCAGCCUGUGCCACCUGAAAACACCGUUUCACGUAGAAAUCAUAAAAAUUUCUUAAACGUGGGGAAUCAAUGAACCUUUGAAGAAUGAUUGUUAAAUCACAGGGCCUCGUCCACACACGGAUCAGGGAAGGCGGCGGCGCCCCGUCAGGACCCACAGCCCGAGCCAGCGCCGGCCCUGCGGCGUCCGGUGAAGGAAUGAGUGGCCACCCCGGGCUUCUGACCUGUUGGGGAGGUGGGAGGCGGCCCUCCCUGUGGCCUCGGGCACCGGGGGGCCACACGGGUCGCCAGGAGCCCUCAGCCAUAGCACAGGGGAGCCAGCGGGUACCCAGCCGUCCCUUCCAUGCAGCCUCCUGCCGCCCCGCUCAGGCCGCCGGUUCUCUGCAGCCCCCCACCCCCGACGUGGCCUCCGUGCAGCUCCAGGGUUUGCUUCCCAGCUCACUGGCCAUUCCCCAGGGCUGCGCCUGGCGUCCUCAGAGAACCAGAGGCCUGGGCCCAGGACACGGGGGAAGGCAGCCUUCGGGGCCCAGUCCACCUGGCCCCGCACCCCACUCCCACCCAGGUGCCUUGAGCCGAAUAAGGAGGCAGAGACGUCUGAGGAGCAGCCAGGGGUGAGGACACGUCCGCUCUCCGUGUGCCUCGUUUGCACACACACGUCGGUGCCUGGCAGUUGGGGGACCCUUGCCACCGCGGCCUGGCCUCCCGCCCGCUCGCCGCCAGCCCUGCCUGUGCCCUCACCUUGCCCAGCGGAAGGGGUCACCCAGCCAGACCCUACCUGGUGGCCUGAAAGCGUGGGCAGGAAGGCCGGUCUGGCCCAGGCCUGGGGGGUCUGCCUCUGGGGCACAGGUCCUGGGGGAAGGGCCGACCCUCGUGCCCAAACACCCAGCGAGGGGCCCGGUGCCUGGGCGACUGCUCCGGCCCGAACGCGGGGCUCAGGGGCCUCGGCGGGUGCCGCGCACUCUUGACCCCGCUGCCCAGGAGCAGGCGUCCUCUUGGCCCGGAUGUCCCAGGUCGUCGGAGGAUCGCUGGAAGCCUCAGGGCGCCCCGUGGGCCUCUGAUGUCUGGCUGCAGGGCCAGCACCCGCCUCCACGCCACGAGGCCGUGCUCGGCCCAACACCGAGAGAAACUGGCCGCGGCGGCCGGGAAGUGUCUACCGUCAAACGUCGUGCACGGAAUCGUGACAGCAAAGUAACUACAGAGUGAUAAAAGGUAAAGCAAAUAUUAUCCAGGAGGAGCAAGAGCCGCGAUGACACUGUUUAUGUGAAUGUUUCCCUGGACGGAAGAGGCCAAAGUGGCAGCCUGCCCGCCACCCCCCCGACCCUGCGCCCAGCUGGUGACCCCGCGACCCCCGCCCCCAAGUGGAUCCUGACCAGAGCUUCCGGGUCCUCGCCAACCCGCACCCCCCCAGCCAGGGCUCGACACGCGAGCUGAGCCCAGGUGACCGGCUGACGUUGGGCCAGCAGAGUCCAGCUGCCUUCGGGGUCAGGAGAUCUCGGCCUCCACGCGCCCUGAGGCCUGAGCCCACGGACUCCAGGCUGGAGGGGCCGCUGCUCCCACAGCUACUUCUCACAAGGCGCAAAGCUUUGAGCAGGGCCCCGACUCUCGCGCAGGAUGCUGGGGCCCAGGCCGUGCUCUGCCCACGUCUCGGGGUCCCCUCAGCGGCUGGUCGGUGCAGGGGGGCUGCUGAGGGUCAGAGCGGCCUGGAGGGGCCACGUGGCCUCCACGCCCUGGGAGUCUGGACACCACCCAGGGGCCCCCCGCCCAAACCUCCACCUGCUUCUGAGCCGCCCACCUGGACAUGUCACUCAGUUUGCAAAAUACCAGGUCACACAGAGACAUUAGAAUUUGUCACAAAAAAAAAAAAAAAAAAAUGUCGAUUUGUCGCAACAUUUGAAGAAGCCCAAGACGGCAGCUCCGCGUAGGCAGAAAGGGGCCCCCGCUGCUCCGGGCGCGGCGCCGGGGCCUACAGCAGAGGGGCUGGGACCCCGAGGGCCAUCCCCCCGCCGCCCGCUGGCCCGGGGAGUCCCAGGACCCCCUUCCGGCUGGGGACGGAGGGCCCGUGAGUCCAGGCCGCGCCCCCGGGCCCAGGCCCCGAAGCCGUAGUCGUGGCUGCGCCGCAGCUCGCGGUCCUGCCCGGUGCCUCCGCAGGGGCUGCUCUGGCUCCGGGGCUGGAGUCGUCCCCCGCGGGGCCCCAGACAUGCGGAGCAGGUGUCUGCAGCACGUGUCUGCGGGCGGGGGCAGCUGCCACCGGGCUGGCGGGAUGCCGGGCCAGGGCCAGAGUUCAGCUGUCCCCGGGGCUGGACACGAGGGACCCUGGCCACGGGGCAGGAGGGCUCUGAGUCAGCCUUAGCCCGGGGCAGCUGGCCGCGGGGUGAGCCUGAGGGACUCCCCGGCAAGUGGGCACGGCCCCCGGCCUCGGCGCAGCUCCAGCCCCCCUGCCUGGGCCCAGCCUCCACUCACAGGGUCCUAGGGUGCUCCUGCCACGUCCCAAGGCUCAGGUGCCCCAGGCGGGCCAUGGGUGCCCGGGUGGCAGGUGCCUGGCGGCCUGUGGCCCAGAAGCUAUGGACCUUGCUCUAAAGGAGCCCGCCCGGGGGAUCCCUGGGUGGCGCAGCGGUUUGGCGCCUGCCUUUGGCCCGGGGCGCGAUCCUGGAGACCCGGGAUCGAAUCCCACAUCGGGCUCCCGGUGCAUGGAGCCUGCUUCUCCCUCUGCCUGUGUCUCUGCCUCUCUCUCUCUCACUGUGUGCCUAUCAUAAAUAAAUUUAAAAAAUUAAAAAAAAAAAUAAAUAAAUAAAGGAGCCCGCCCAGCGAGAUCUGUUUCUCCUGGCGACGAAGAUUGGGACGCCCUGAGCCGUCGGGGCGCCGUUGAGGCCGGUGCCCCCGGGGGGCAAACCCGACCUGCUGAAGCACACGGGCCUGGGGACCGAGGAAGGACGGAGCCUGAGGGUUCCCCACCGGAAGGGCCUGGGCCGCCACGCUGCAGGGCCCCAGGGGCGGGGAGAGCCAGGCCGCCUUGGCCGUAAACAGCCAUUACGCUGAUCACAGGCCCCAAGGCUAAUUACGGCCGGCGGGGAAGGCGGGGAAUGUUUGCCCUGACGGGGAGGAACGUGGGCUAAGGUCCCAACCCAACCCGCCUUGCAGGGCAGUUUCCAAGGUCACCUCCGGCCUCCCCUGCUCCUCCCCUCGGCAGCGGGGCAGGACCACACGGGGACAACGGAGGCUCAGAGGGCCAGUGGCGUCUGCCUACAGGAUCCGUCUUGCGAGCCAGGGCUGACAGCUCAGGUUCAAGGGAGAGAGUAAGCCCUGAUGCUUCUGUGAUGCAGGUGCUACGUGUGGACCUUGUGAGCCAUCUGGAGCCCCGGGGACAAAGGCAAGGAGGCGGCGGCGACUGAGGCCCUCCUCCACAUGGCCUGGUGCCAGCAGCACAAGUGUCACCCCAUGGCCCCCUAGCCCAUUGCCAAGGAGCUAAGGGUCAGAACAGCCUCACUGAACGUGGUAGAGGCCAUGAGGCCGCCAUGCAGGCUUCUGCUCAGGGACAGGGUGGACAGGCCCAGGU
Molecule: long non-coding RNA, 4165 nt
Filed under: Canis lupus familiaris (dog)
Lineage: Eukaryota; Metazoa; Chordata; Mammalia; Carnivora; Canidae
Description: lncRNA (ENSCAFG00040011795.1)
Source: RNAcentral